Molecule: ribosomal RNA, 556 nt
Filed under: Dingleya verrucosa
Lineage: Eukaryota; Fungi; Ascomycota; Pezizomycetes; Pezizales; Tuberaceae
Description: eukaryotic LSU rRNA
Rfam family: Eukaryotic large subunit ribosomal RNA
Source: RNAcentral
CAACAGGGAUUGCCUCAGUAACGGUGAGUGAAGCGGCAAGAGCUCAAAUUUGAAAUCUGGCGUCGAGAGGCGUCCGACUUGUAAUUUGGAGAGGCAUCUUCUGGUGGGGCCGAGCCCAUGUUCCUUGGAACAGGACGUCAUAGAGGGUGAGAAUCCCGUUCGUGGCUGGGUGCACCCACCUGCAUGUAGUGUCUUCUACGAGUCGAGUUGUUUGGGAAUGCAGCUCAAAAGGGGUGGUAAAUUUCAUCUAAAGCUAAAUAUUGGCGAGAGACCGAUAGCGCACAAGUAGAGUGAUCGAAAGAUGAAAAGCACUUUGAAAAUAGAGUCAAACAGUACGUGAAAUUGUUGAAGGGGAAGCGCUUGAGACCAGACUCGGCCUAGGGCACACAUCCUUCCUUCUGGUUGGUGCACUUGCCCCUGGCUGGGCCAGCAUCAGUUGGGAUGGCGGGAUAAAGGUCCGGAGAAUGUGGCUCCCCCUCGGGGAGUUUUAUAACCCAGGAUCCCAUUCCGCCCGUCCCGACUGAGGGCCGCGCNUCGGCCAGGAUACUGGCGUAAU